AUUGAACGCUGGCGGCAGGCCUAACACAUGCAAGUCGAAUGGUAACAGGAAACAGCUUGCUGUUUCGCUGACGAGUGGCGGACGGGUGAGUAAUGUCUGGGAAACUGCCUGAUGGAGGGGGAUAACUACUGGAAACGGUAGCUAAUACCGCAUAACGUCGCAAGACUAAAGAGGGGGACCUUCGGGCCCCUUGCCAUCAGAUGUGCCCAGAUGGGAUUAGCUAGUAGGUGGGGUAACGGCUCACCUAGGCGACGAUCCCUAGCUGGUCUGAGAGGAUGACCGCCCCCCCGGGACGUGGGCCCCGGCCCAGACCCCACGGGGGGGCAGGUGUGGGAAAUUUUGCACAAGGGGCGAAAGCCUGAUGCACCCAUGCCGCGUGUAGGAAGAAGGCCUUCGGUUUGUAAAGUACUUUCAGCGGGGAGGAGGGGAGUAAAGUUAAUCCCUUUCCUCAUUGACUUCCCCCACAAAAGAAGCCCCGGCUACCCCCGU
Molecule: ribosomal RNA, 489 nt
Filed under: uncultured bacterium
Lineage: Bacteria
Description: partial 16S ribosomal RNA
Rfam family: Bacterial small subunit ribosomal RNA
Source: RNAcentral